UGGGGAAUAUUGCACAAUGGGCGGAAGCCUGAUGCAGCGACGCCGCGUGAGGGAUGACGGCCUUCGGGUUGUAAACCUCUUUCAGUAGGGACGAAGCGUAAGUGACGGUACCUGCAGAAGAAGCACCGGCUAACUACGUGCCAGCAGCCGCGGUAAUACGUAGGGUGCGAGCGUUGUCCGGAAUUACUGGGCGUAAAGAGCUCGUAGGCGGUUUGUCACGUCGUCUGUGAAAUCCUAGGGCUUAACCCUGGACGUGCAGGCGAUACGGGCUGACUUGAGUACUACAGGGGAGACUGGAAUUUCUGGUGUAGCGGUGGAAUGCACAGAUAUCAGGAAGAACACCGAUGGCGAAGGCAGGUCUCUGGGUAGUAACUGACGCUGAGGGGCGAAAGCAUGGGUAGCGAACAGG
Molecule: ribosomal RNA, 409 nt
Filed under: Verrucomicrobiota bacterium
Lineage: Bacteria; Pseudomonadati; Verrucomicrobiota
Description: Verrucomicrobia bacterium partial 16S ribosomal RNA
Rfam family: Bacterial small subunit ribosomal RNA
Source: RNAcentral